This 890-nucleotide unclassified non-coding RNA is filed under the name Hevea brasiliensis (rubber tree). The record is from RNAcentral. Lineage: Eukaryota; Viridiplantae; Streptophyta; Magnoliopsida; Malpighiales; Euphorbiaceae.
AUUCUUGACUGGCAUCUUAUCAAACAACAACUUAGCCAUUUCCAUAUCUCCCGCUUUACUAUAUCCUGAAACCAUAGACGACCACGAGACAACAUUCCUCCCUGGCAUUUUAUUAAACAACUCAAACGCUUCAUUCAUCUCUCCUGCCUUUGCAUACCCAUCUAAUAUAGUGUUCCAGCUAACAGUAUCUCUCACAGGCAUUUCGUCAAAAAGCGUGCGAGCUGCACUCAAAUCCCCUGCUUUUACCAACCCACCAAUCAUAGAAUUCCAGGAAACAAUAUCUUUCUCAUCCAUCGUCACAAAUAACUUCAUUGCAGAAUUAACGCCCAAUAAACCACACUUAGAGUAACUAUCAAUUAGUGAAUUAGGCACAAACAAAUCUCCGAAAAACCCACAUUUCUCCACAUGGCUAUGCAUCAUUUGCACUAAAGGCAACCAAGCCUGCCCAUUACAGGCCUUCAAAAGAAACGUGUAUGUGAAAUUAUCAGCAAAAACACCAUUCUUUUGCAUGUCAAAGAAAGCAGCAAAAGCCAAUGAAGGCUGCGAAUUCUGAACAUAAGCUCUUAUCAAAUUAUUAUACAAAUGAACAUUGAGGUCUUGAAUUUGGUUAAAAACAUUAACAGCUAAAGUCAUUUCGCGACAAAGAGAGAAGGCAGAUAUUAGCUUGGGAGCUACAUACAGGUCUCUGUGAAGAUCUCGUUUGAUUAUUUGGGCAUGAACUUCCUUUAUUUGGUUUAACUUGGUGCAUUUGUGGAGGUCUUGGAGACUUUGCUCAAAGAGCCUUCUUGUUGAAACCCAUGCUGGGGCUCUAAUUGGCGCUGACAUUUGUGUUGGUUUAGACAUAGAGGGGAACUUGCAUUGUUAGAGAGAUUUGGGGUUUGAGAAAUUUG